Eriocheir sinensis (Chinese mitten crab) is the source of this 878-nucleotide long non-coding RNA. RefSeq lists it as uncharacterized. The transcript has 2 exons. The record is from RefSeq and is a predicted model, not a curated record. Lineage: Eukaryota; Metazoa; Arthropoda; Malacostraca; Decapoda; Varunidae.
CACCCAUCAACACUGGAGGAACACCCAAUCAUGUCACACACCAGGCUGAUGGCCUGCCUCUUGUCCGGGAACAGCUGCGAGAACGCGGUGUAUCUUCGGCGGGCACGGACAUCAUCAUGGCUUCGUGGCGGCCCGCAACCGCGAAGCAGUAUCGACCACACAUUCAUAGGUGGCUACAGUUUUGCGAUUUGCGGAGACCUGGGAUAUCCAGCCAGUGCUCCAGCACCUGCGGAACAUGGAUCCACUGCCCACUCUCUCACUUAAAGACUUAACCCUUAAGCUUGUAAUGUUAAUGGCGCUUACCCAAGCUGCUCGGAUGCAGACCUUGCACCUAUUGUUGCUGAGCGGCAUACUAAUUAAGAAGGAUUCUAUUUCAGUCAUGUUAAGAGGACAUAUCAAACAAUGUAGGCCUGAUUUCAAUGUGAAAACUAUUACUUUCCAUGCAUAUUCUAGGGAUAGUCGGCUUUGUGUCUGUGAUACACUUAAGUUUUAUGUCGCGCAGACUGAAAAACUCCGCAGCUUUGAGAAUGAUGAUGAAAGUCUGCUUAUCAGUUUUAUCAAGCCCCACAAGGGAGUGUCGAAAGACACCUUAGCACGUUGGAUCAGGUCUGUGCUUCACUUAUCUGGCAUAGACACAGUCAAGUACUCAGCUGGUAGUGUUCGGUCUGCUGCGGCAUCAAAAGCUAAAUCCAUGAAUGUCCCCAUUAUGCAUAUCAUGGCAAAGGCUGGCUGGUCACGUGAAGCCACCUUUGCUAAAUAUUAUGACAAAGAAAUUGUCUCGAACCCAGACAUAUUUCAGGAUGCUGUUCUCAUGUAGGUUAACAUGUCUGUACAGACUGUACAAUGCUUUUCUAUGUUUAUUAAAAUUGGUACAUUUC